AAUAUUGGACAAUGGGCGCAAGCCUGAUCCAGCCAUGCCGCGUGAGUGAAGAAGGCCCUCGGGUUGUAAAGCUCUUUUGUUGGGAAAGAAAAGCAGCCGGUUAAUACCCGGUUGUUCUGACGGUACCCAAAGAAUAAGCACCGGCUAACUACGUGCCAGCAGCCGCGGUAAUACGUAGGGUGCGAGCGUUAAUCGGAAUUACUGGGCGUAAAGCGUGCGCAGGCGGUUCGUUAAGUUCGAUGUGAAAGCCCCGGGCUCAACCUGGGAACUGCAUUGGAAACUGGCGAGCUUGAAUGCGGCAGAGGGGGGUGGAAUUCCGCGUGUAGCAGUGAAAUGCGUAGAGAUGCGGAGGAACACCGAUGGCGAAGGCAGCCCCCUGGGCCGACAUUGACGCUCAGGCACGAAAGCGUGGGGAGCA
Molecule: ribosomal RNA, 418 nt
Filed under: uncultured bacterium
Lineage: Bacteria
Description: bacterial SSU rRNA
Rfam family: Bacterial small subunit ribosomal RNA
Source: RNAcentral